AAUAAGUACAGUUUUAUACUAUUCAUAUCCAAUGUUUGAUCAUCUUAUUUAAAAAAUUUUAUGAUUAAUAUUUUUAUUGUUAUUAGAUGAUAACACAUAAAUAUUACUUUAUGUGUGACUAAUUUUUUUUGAAAAAAAUCAUAAAAUUUCCAAAUAAGAUGGACGGUCAAAUGUUGGAUACGCAUACCAACGCUGUAUUUAUU
Molecule: microRNA precursor, 203 nt
Filed under: Oryza sativa Japonica Group (Japanese rice)
Lineage: Eukaryota; Viridiplantae; Streptophyta; Magnoliopsida; Poales; Poaceae
Description: MIR812 microRNA precursor family
Rfam family: MIR812 microRNA precursor family
Source: Rfam by way of RNAcentral